AAGGGAGACCUAAUUCGGGUAUAAGACGAAAAAAAAGUAGUCCCUACCAAGAAUCAAUCCCAAAAGGUCGGAACGAGGUAUGAGGCUUUCAAACUAGGUUCUGGGUUCAUAAAAGACCUGAAUCAGGAACAAGGGCUAUUAGCUCAGGUGGUUAGAGCGCACCCCUGAUAAGGGUGAGGUCCCUGGUUCGAGUCCAGGAUGGCCCACCUGCACAGGUGGCAAAAACAAGAGAAGCGAGGAAUCAGCACCUUAUCUUAUAUACAUAUAUAAGAGAGAAUGCUGGCUCUGAGUACAGAGUCCAGAGGAACCUUGAAAACUGCAUAGAGCUAGGUGAAAAAGCCAAAAAAGAAGACCGCAA
This 358-nucleotide transfer RNA is filed under the name Microcystis aeruginosa CST1-1. RNAcentral's name for it is "16S-23S ribosomal RNA intergenic spacer". The stretch from base 133 to 206 matches the Rfam family "tRNA". Lineage: Bacteria; Bacillati; Cyanobacteriota; Cyanophyceae; Chroococcales; Microcystaceae. The record is from RNAcentral.